CCUACGGGGGACAGCAGUGAGGAAUAUUGGUCAAUGGACGAGAGUCUGAACCAGCCAAGUAGCGUGAAGGAUGACUGCCCUAUGGGUUGUAAACUUCUUUUAUAUGGGAAUAAAAUGUUCCACGUGUGGGAUUUUGUAUGUACCAUAUGAAUAAGGAUCGGCGAACUCCGUGCCAGCAGCCGCGGUAAUACGGAGGAUCCGAGCGUUAUCCGGAUUUAUUGGGUUUAAAGGGAGCGUAGGUGGGUUGUUAAGUCAGUUGUGAAAGUUUGCGGCUCAACCGUAAAAUUGCAGUUGAAACUGGCAGUCUUGAGUACAGUAGAGGUGGGCGGAAUUCGUGGUGUAGCGGUGAAAUGCUUAGAUAUCACGAAGAACUCCGAUUGCGAAGGCAGUUCACUGGACUGCAACUGACACUGAGGCUCGAAAGUGUGGGUAUCAAACAGGAUUAGAUACCCGGGUAGUC
This 460-nucleotide ribosomal RNA is filed under the name uncultured bacterium. Its description in RNAcentral is "partial 16S ribosomal RNA". It matches the Rfam family "Bacterial small subunit ribosomal RNA", at positions 338 to 795 of the family's 1533-position model. The record is from RNAcentral.